This 545-nucleotide ribosomal RNA is filed under the name uncultured bacterium. RNAcentral's name for it is "bacterial SSU rRNA". It matches the Rfam family "Bacterial small subunit ribosomal RNA", at positions 8 to 546 of the family's 1533-position model. The record is from RNAcentral.
AGAGUUUGAUCCUGGCUCAGGAUGAACGCUGGCGGCGUGCCUAAUACAUGCAAGUCGAACGAAUCUUCUUCGGAAGAUGAGUGGCGAACGGGUGAGUAAUACAUAGGUAACCUGCCCCUGUGCGGGGGAUAACAGGAGGAAACUCCUGCUAAUACCGCAUAGCCAUGAGCACCGCAUGGAGCUCAUGCCAAAUAUCCUUCACGGGAUAGCGCAGGGAUGGACCUAUGGCGCAUUAGCUAGUUGGCGGGGCAACGGCCCACCAAGGCAACGAUGCGUAGCCGGCCUGAGAGGGCGGACGGCCACAUUGGGACUGAGACACGGCCCAGACUCCUACGGGAGGCAGCAGUAGGGAAUUUUCGGCAAUGGGGGAAACCCUGACCGAGCAACGCCGCGUGAGCGAAGAAGGCCUUCGGGUCGUAAAGCUCUGUUGUAAAGGAAGAACGUCGGACACAGGAAAUGGUGUGCGAGUGACGGUACUUUACCAGAAAGCCACGGCUAACUACGUGCCAGCAGCCGCGGUAAUACGUAGGUGGCGAGCGUUAUCC